AUGACGAAAACAUUUAAGUGUGUGGAAAAUGGAGGUAAAGAUCACUGCCUUGAAAUCAAGAUGUUUGUGGUCUUUCUGAGGUAUCCACUCCUGGAUAUGGUGUUAUCCUCUCUAAUUCCUUGCGUUCCUCAUCUGAUGAAGUCCACCUUGGUCCAUAGCAAGAAUGCUGCUUACUCAACAACAGGAGGAUAUGGCCAUGGUCAAGACACCUUGCUUCGUAGGGAAGACUUCCUUGUCAUUGCCAGCAAUGAUUUGGACAAUAUAACCCUCCAUCCUUCACCUAUAGCAUCAGCAGCAACUUCUGUGGCCAUACACCUUUCAUAAAAGGUAUAAAGUUUACAUUCAUCAUCUACUUCAGUGAAUUUCUGGAUGCCAGUAACUGGAAAAUAGAUAUAUUCAGCUUCAUCCUAGAGUAGCCUACUGCCUCUGAG
RNAcentral lists this long non-coding RNA (431 nucleotides) under Vulpes vulpes (red fox). RNAcentral describes it as "lncRNA (ENSVVUG00000016402.1)". Lineage: Eukaryota; Metazoa; Chordata; Mammalia; Carnivora; Canidae. The record is from RNAcentral.